RNAcentral lists this ribosomal RNA (253 nucleotides) under uncultured bacterium. Its description in RNAcentral is "partial 16S ribosomal RNA". It matches the Rfam family "Bacterial small subunit ribosomal RNA", at positions 524 to 776 of the family's 1533-position model. The record is from RNAcentral.
UACAGAGGUCUCAAGCGUUGUUCGGAUUCAUUGGGCGUAAAGGGUGCGUAGGUGGUGGGGUAAGUCGGAUGUGAAAUCCCGGGGCUCAACCCCGGAACUGCAUUCGAUACUGCCUUGCUCGAGUACUGGAGAGGAGACUGGAAUUUACGGUGUAGCAGUGAAAUGCGUAGAUAUCGUAAGGAAGACCAGUGGCGAAGGCGGGUCUCUGGACAGUUCCUGACGCUGAGGCACGAAGGCCAGGGGAGCAAACGGG